Non-coding RNA from Pelobates cultripes (western spadefoot toad), 284 nucleotides. Lineage: Eukaryota; Metazoa; Chordata; Amphibia; Anura; Pelobatidae. The record is from the annotation of a GenBank genome assembly.
AAAAAAAUAAAACUAACAGCUUACCCAGUCACUGCUAAAUGUCACCAUGGAUUAAGGAUGCCCAUGGGCCCUAGGCAGGGUGCCAGGACAAUGUGUCUGUGAGUGUUUUGUGUGAGAGUGUGUGUAGUGACUGAGUAUUGUGUGUUUGGAAGGGGCUAAGAGCCGUAUGGUGUGGGCUGAGUGUGUCUGUUUGUCUAGCAUUAUGUAACUGCAUAUGGGCCUGAGAGUGUGUGUGCAUGCAUUUUGACUGACUGUGUCUUUGUCUCUUGCACUGUGUAUCUGUG